This 1383-nucleotide ribosomal RNA is filed under the name metagenome. Its description in RNAcentral is "bacterial LSU rRNA". It matches the Rfam family "Bacterial large subunit ribosomal RNA", at positions 1520 to 2925 of the family's 2925-position model. The record is from RNAcentral.
GUACCAGCCACUCAGGCAAAUCCGGGUGGCAAUGGGAAGCCGUGAUGCGGAGCGAAAUACAAGUAGCGAAGUCCGUGAGCCAUGCGUCAAGAAAAGCCGCUAUUGUUUAUACCGUACCCGUACCGUAAACCGACACAGGUGGAUGAGGAGAGAAUCCUAAGGCCGGCGGAAGAAGCAUUGUCAAGGAACUCGGCAAAAUGACCCCGUAACUUCGGGAGAAGGGGUGCCACUGAGAAGUGGCCGCAGAGAAUAGGCUCAAGCAACUGUUUAGCAAAAACACAGGUCUAUGCGAAACCGAAAGGUGAGGUAUAUGGGCUGACGCCUGCCCGGUGCUGGAAGGUUAAGAGGAGAGGUUAGCGCAAGCGAAGCUUUGAAUUUAAGCCCCAGUAAACGGCGGCCGUAACGAUAACGGUCCUAAGGUAGCGAAAUUCCUUGUCGGGUAAGUUCCGACCCGCACGAAAGGCGUAAUGAUUUGAGCGCUGUCUCGACAAUGCAUCCGGUGAAAUUGAAGUACCAGUGAAGAUGCUGGUUACCUGCGCCAGGACGGAAAGACCCCAUGGAGCUUUACUCCAGUUUGGUACUGGGGUCCGGUAUUGCAUGUACAGGAUAGGUGGGAGGCUAGGAAGCAGUAACGCCAGUUGCUGCGGAGCCGCUGUUGGGAUACCACCCUUGCAGUACUGGGCUUCUAACCAGCCGCCGUGAACCGGCGGUGGGACAAUGCCAGACGGGGAGUUUGACUGGGGCGGUCGCCUCCGAAAGGGUAUCGGAGGCGCCCAAAGGUUCCCUCAGAAUGGACGGAAACCAUUCGAAGAGUGCAAAGGCAGAAGGGAGCUUGACUGCGACACCGACGGGUGGAGCAGGUACGAAAGUAGGGCUUAGUGAUCCGGUGGUAUUAAGUGGGAAUGCCAUCGCUCAACGGAUAAAAGCUACCCUGGGAUAACAGGCUUAUCACUCCCAAGAGUUCACAUCGACGGAGUGGUUUGGCACCUCGAUGUCGGCUCAUCGCAUCCUGGGGCUGUAGUAGGUCCCAAGGGUUGGGCUGUUCGCCCAUUAAAGCGGUACGCGAGCUGGGUUCAGAACAUCGUGAGACAGUUCGGUCCCUAUCCGGCGUGGGCGUAGGAUAUCUGAGAGGAGCUGUCCUUAGUACGAGAGGACCGGGAUGGACGGACCGCUGGUGUACCGGUUAGACUGCCAAGUCUACGGCCGGGUAGCCAAGUCCGGAAGGGAUAAACGCUGAAGGCAUCUAAGCGUGAAGCCCCCCUCAAGAUGAGAUGUCCCAUUCGAAAGAAGUAAACCCCCUUGAAGACGACGAGGUAGAUAGGGCAGGGGUGGAAGUGCAGUAAUGCACGGAGCUGACUGUUACUAAUAGGGUGAGGGCUUGAC